Long non-coding RNA from Sander lucioperca (pikeperch), 742 nucleotides. RefSeq lists it as uncharacterized. The transcript has 2 exons. NCBI's taxonomy places the organism in Eukaryota, Metazoa, Chordata, Actinopteri, Perciformes, Percidae. The record is from RefSeq and is a predicted model, not a curated record.
AGCACAGUCAGAUUGGAUGGAAAGCGUCUGUGAACAGCAAUUUUCAAGUCUUGCCAGAGAUUCUCAAUUGGAUUUAGGUCUGGACUUUGACUGGGCCAUUCUAAUACAUGAAUAUGCUUUGCUUUGAUCAGGUCGUUGUCCUGCUGGAAGGUGAACCUCCGCUCUCAAGUCUUUUGCAGACUCUAACAGGUUUUCUUCUAAGAUUGCCCUGUAUUUGGCUCCAUCUAUCUUCCCAUCAACUCUGACCAGCUUCCCUGAUGGUGUGUUCAGGGUGAUGUGCAGUGUUAGUUUUCCCGCAACACAUAGCGUUUUGCAUUUAGGCCGAAAAAUUCAAUUUUGGUCUCAUCUGACCAGAGCACCUUCCUCCACGUUUGCUGUGUCCCCCAUCUGGCUUGUGGCAAGCUGCAAACGGGACUUCUUAUGGCUUUGUUCCAACAAUGGCUUUCUUCUUGCCACUCUUCCACAAAGGCCCGAAUUGUGGAGUGCACAACUGAUAGUUGUCCUGUGGACAGAUUCUCCCACCUGAGCUGUGGAUCUCUGCAGCUCCUCCAGAGUUACCAUGGGCCUCUUGGCUGCUUCUCUGAUCAAUGCUCUCCUUGCCCGGCCUGUCAGUUUAGGUGGACGGCCACGUCUUGGUAGGUUUGCAGUUGUGCCAUACUCUUUCCAUUUUCGGAUGAUGGAUUGAACAGUGCUCCGUGAGAUGUUCAAAGCUUGGGAUAUAUUUUUUACAACCUAACCCUGC